GUUUCUGCCAUGGAUGUUUCCGUCCACUUUCCUUCACUAAUAUAUAGAAUAUUCAUCUUUUUGUAUAAAUACAGAUUUCCUUGGGUCAAAGCAGCCGCAAUUUCUGUUACAAACCACACAAACUGCCAAAAUCCAGGGCAGACAGAAAGCUAACCAAAAUCACCAAAAUAAAAUACAAUAAUUCAAGUGUUGGCUGGUGUUUGUGGGACUGAUAUAAUAAAUAGCUCUGAAUACCAUUAUAGAAUCUGUUUUGGUUCAUUUUCAGAAAUUGAUCGUUCUGAAUCAGAAUUAUUAGGCGGCUACCAAGAAGCCUCUGCCCGGCAUGCAAUUAUUCCUAGUUCAAAACAUUAACAUAUCAGUGGUCCAACAGUCUCUGCCAAGGAGCUAAUCUGCCACUUCCAUUACCUCUGAAGAUUAUUUCAACAAUUAUUAUACGUGGCAUAAACCGAGAAGCAUGUCUGUUGUUUUAAAUAUCGUUAACAACUCGAGGUAAAUGUUUUUUUUUUUUUUUUUAAUUUUUAUUUACAAAGAAGUACCUCUCACAAUCUUAAAGCUCUAGGUCUAGCUAUUGUUAACAUGUCUUCUUGCAUAAGUCAGUCGACUUCAAUAGAAGAAACAUGAUCACGUGGUUAGACUCGUCCCUUUCAUAGGCCCAAUCAGCUAUAUAAUCCGCACAAAAAUCCCCUCUAUGGAUAUGAUGAAUUCUGCAAUCUCAGUUUCUGUUAAUCAACUGUUGGCAUUGGUAAAUAACAUGGUAUAGCGGGUCAAUCUUGAUCACAUUACCAUGAGUCAGAUUCAUUAGUCUCUGAAAACCUCGAUCCCAUGCUAAGUCAGUCCCAUGUAAAGGGUAUAUGGUUCUGCUCUAAGAAUCGAUCCCUCGUAUCAAUUUUUUUGGCGAAGCCAAACACCUAGUACCCAUUACAAUCCCUUGCAAUACCUCCUAUAGCCAACUCUCCUAGAUUUGAAGAUGUAGCACCAUCCACAUUAAUUUAAUAAAAGCAGCUGGGAGAGUUCCAAGCAAUAAGAAAAAUCUGUUUAAAAGUAGUAAAACUUUGAGAAUCACAAAAACUAAGAAACUCCCUAGCUCUGGCCAAAACAAUAUUAGCAGCACAAUUUGGCCAAGAAAAUCCCUUUUCAAAACAACAUUUGUUUCUCCAUUUCCAAACAUACCAACAACCAAAAGCAAACAUAACAGACCAAAGUAACUCCUCAACUAAAACAUUCUUUCUGAUAAAAUUAAACUUAAUCCAAUCUUGCAAAGUCAAAGAAUUAAAGUGAUCCAAGGUCGAAUCUCGAAGCCAACAAGACCACAACAUACUUGAAUCUCUGCAAUCCCUUAGCAUAUGUAAAGCCGAUUCAACUGGAUUUUCACAUCUAGGACACAUAGUUGAAUUAGAAAUUACUUUAGUCACACAAGCCUCUCUUGUAAGUAUUCUGUUAUGCAUCACUAACCAAAUAAAGAACUUGAUUCGAGGUAGCAAAUCCAACCCCCAAAUCUUCAUCCAUCAAUUUUUGUCCAAAGAAAUAACUUUUGUUCGGAAUUUUGACUUGCACAAUUAAGACCCGUUUAAACUUUUUAAUUAGAUCUUAAUAGGAGCCCAAAAUCAAUUUUAAGAGUACAAUUUAAAUUAAAACUUUCGUUAAUUAAAUAAAUAAUACAAAAAAGUAACAAAAAAACAAAGUUUGUCAGACAGCCUAUUCACACUAUUUUUCUUCCCUCCCUGCUGCUUCCUAGAAUGAUCUCAGAGUCUUAUAAAAACCAAACAAAUGAAUCAAACAAGGGGGAGGCGAAUUUUGAGGCUAAUUCUUUGAAAACAAAGAAAAAAAAAAAAAAGCCCAUGGCCGCACCCUUGUAAACCACUAGAAGCCCCACCACACAGCUUCCACCAUCAACCUGCACUGCCAAAUCUCCAAAAAUCAACAAUUUCUCAAACAAAAAUUCCCUUGCUUUUUACCAAAAAUCAAAACAAACAAAAAAACACAGCCCUCACCAAUCGGAGAGGAACCCAGAAGAAGCAAUAAAAAAAAUCAAUCAAAAAAUUUUGGUGAACCGUUUGGGGGUGAACGGUUGAAGCCAAAAAAAAACAAAAAGAGAGACCCGUUUGGCGUGGAAGGGAAGGAGGAAAAAGGAAG
Non-coding RNA from Durio zibethinus, 2133 nucleotides. NCBI's taxonomy places the organism in Eukaryota, Viridiplantae, Streptophyta, Magnoliopsida, Malvales, Malvaceae. The record is from RefSeq and is a predicted model, not a curated record.